GGGCGUGUGGUCUAGUGGUAUGAUUCUCGCUUUGGGCGACUUCCUGCCUAAACAGGAAGACAAACCAUGCGAGAGGCCCUGGGUUCAAUUCCCAGCUCGCCCC
This 103-nucleotide transfer RNA is filed under the name Saccharomyces cerevisiae (brewer's yeast). It matches the Rfam family "tRNA". Rfam says of the family: Transfer RNA (tRNA) molecules are approximately 80 nucleotides in length. Their secondary structure includes four short double-helical elements and three loops (D, anti-codon, and T loops). Lineage: Eukaryota; Fungi; Ascomycota; Saccharomycetes; Saccharomycetales; Saccharomycetaceae. The record is from RNAcentral.